AGUUACGGCCAUACCGCCCUGAACGCGCCCGAUCUUGUCUGAUCUCGGAAGCUAAGCAGGGUCGGCCUGGUCUAUGAGUGUACACUAAGUAAACUCAGAGCACCUUAGAGU
This 111-nucleotide ribosomal RNA is filed under the name Amphilophus citrinellus (Midas cichlid). Lineage: Eukaryota; Metazoa; Chordata; Actinopteri; Cichliformes; Cichlidae. The record is from RNAcentral.